Molecule: long non-coding RNA, 259 nt
Filed under: Elaeis guineensis (African oil palm)
Lineage: Eukaryota; Viridiplantae; Streptophyta; Magnoliopsida; Arecales; Arecaceae
Description: long non-coding RNA (EGUI_LNC029508)
Source: RNAcentral
CUUGUGGCUGGGCUGGUUAAAUAGAUCACUCCCAAGUCUAGCUGAAUUGGAUCAUCACAAAUUCUAAAUUUCAUCACAACAUCUAAAUCUUUUGAUUAUGAGGCAUAAAGUCUCCCCUCACCAACCCGAAGUUAUUCAAAAAGAUGAUAGCCGGGUAAAUUAGAUAAUAUUCUAUAUUAUGUUUUAAAUUUGAAAAGGAAUAUACCAAAAGAUUCUACCUAUCAAGUUCGCGAGCCAAAAUGUCCCUACAUUUCUACAU